CCGCCCCGCGCCCGCCACUGGCGCCGGCAGCGCCCGCCCGCUCCGCUCCUGCCGCUUCUCCCGCGCCGACCCUCCUCCCGUCCCUCUGUCCGCCAUGGUGCGUGGGCUCGGGGCUCCGCAUCCUCCCGGCUCGGCGCGCCCGCAUCCCUCAGCCCCGGGGCGGCGGUUACCGUGAGAGCCGCGUCUUCCAGCCGGGCAGCCCUGGCGCAGCAGCGGGGACGAGGCGGGCGCUGCCACGGCUGACCUGUUGAAAGAGCCGGGCUCGCGGGGCUUUCCUUUGCCUUGCUCUUUUAUUUCUUGCUCCUUUUUCUUGUCACUUCUGGACGGGGGAAGUUUGCUCCCCCAGACCGUGGCCGGGCUUCCUCCACACCCUUUCCUCCUUUUUGCCAGGAUCCGCUGCCCGGGGCCAGACGUGAUCUCCCUCGUAACCCCCCGCCCGAUCCCGCAGCCGCGAGCGCUGGAGCUGGGAUCGGCCCCGUCCUCCCGCAGGAGCUGUCCGCGGGCUCCGGGCUCGCCCGUUCCCCGGCGCACGGCGGGGCGGCCCCGGCAGGGCUGCAGCCCCCGCGGGUGUCCCCGGGCUGCCCGGCCGCCACCAUGGCGAAAGUGGCGGCGGAAAGUUGCGGGGCGGCGCCGGCCGAGGACUUGUCCAAGGUGUCGGACGAAGAGCUGCUGAAGUGGAGCAAGGAGGAGCUGAUCCGCAGCCUCCGCCGCGCCGAGGCCGAGAAGAUGAGCGCGAUGCUGGACCACAGCAACCUCAUUCGCGAAGUGAACCGCCGCCUCCAGCUCCAUCUCGGCGAGAUCCGCGGCUUGAAGGACAUCAACCAGAAACUGCAAGAAGAUAACCAAGAACUGCGAGACCUUUGCUGCUUUUUGGAUGAUGACAGGCAGAAAGGCAAGAAGGUGUCCCGUGAGUGGCAGAGACUGGGCAGAUUCAGUGCUAGUGUCAUGCACAAAGAGGUUGCCUUAUACUUACAGAAGCUGAAAGAACUGGAGGUGAGGCAGGAAGAAGUGGUUAAGGAAAACCUGGAGCUGAAAGAAUUGUGUGUGUUGCUGGAUGAGGAGAAGAGCGGUGGAGCAGGCAGCCGGAGCUCUAUCGACAGCCAAAUCAGCCUGUGCCAGUUAACUGCAACGAGCACGUACAUCAGAGACGUCGGCGAUGGGAGCAGUACUUCCAGCACGGGAAGUACAGACAGCCCAGACCACCAUAAACAUCAUCCGAGUACUAGUCCAGAACGUCUUCAAAAAGCCCGUGGUGAAGGAAGCCCUGAGCAUCAGAAACACAGGAGUAUCAGCCCAGAGCACCUGCAGAAGCCUAGGAGUUCUGGCAGUCCCGACCAUCACCUGAAAGGCCCGAGUCCAGAACAUCAUAAAACCAUCGUCAAAGCACCUGAGCCACAAAAGCACAGCAGCAGCAGUCCAGAAACUAUCCCAAAGCACGUUUUGAGUAGUAGCCCUGAACACUUUCAAAAGCAGAGGCCUGGUAGUAGCCCCGAGCAUCAAAAGCACAGCAGUGGCAGCCCGGAUCAUCUUCAAAAGCACACACCAAGUGGAAGUACAGAACACCUCCACAAAGUGAGAGGUACGAGCCCUGAGCAUCUCAAACACUACGGAGGGAGCCCGGAACAUCUCAAACAUCUCAGCGGAGGCAGCAGAGAAGGUACCCUCAGGAGACAAGUCACAGACGACCUGUCACCUCACCACAGAAGUAUAUACAAUGGAAUGAAUGAACCAACCUUGUCCUAUGUUAGGCAGCUGGAGGCAAGAGUAAGACAGCUGGAGGAGGAAAAUCGCAUGCUGCCCCAGGUUGUGUGGAGGAAACUUGGAGAUGCUGCAGGGUCGUGCCCUGGAAUUAGACAACAUUUGUCAGGAAAUCAGUAUAAAGGACCCAUGUGAGAGGCCCCGAGCGAGUCCUCGCUCUGAAGAGAAAGAGUUUGGACUGCCGCUAAGAGAAGGAACUGCGUCCUCAGUGACUUGCCAGCGGACAACAAGGAGUCUGUAUGCACUGCAAGAGACUUUGUUGGGAACUAGCAGAGGUUCUGCACAGAGAUCUUUCAGAGGAGCCGUGCUCUCAGUGUCCCCCAGCGCUGCUGCUUGAGCAUCCUGGCCGGUGAGACGCCGCCGCAUCCGCACUUCAACUCGCCACGUUUCGGAGCACUGAGGGACCCCAGCCAUGGAUAUAUCCCCAAGGCAGCAACUAGCACUGCAACCCUCUGGUCAUCCAGGAACCUGAAGGGGAGCUUGGCCUCCUUCUCCACCAGGCUGCUCAAGCAGCAGGGGCUCACUCCCUGUGCCUUGCAGAGUACAGCAGCUACAGCUGCGUAGCUUCCAGCCAGCGGGGACACACCAGCCCCAGCGUGCAUCCUCCAAGGACACUGCAAGGGACACCAGAAAUGCUCCAUCCACUGCCAGCCCUUCAUCCACUCAUCCAAGGACUGCAUCUUCCUCAGGGAGGACAUUCCCUUCUGUAAGCCCUCAGUGCCCAGCUGACACCCAUCAGCUCCUGCCUCAGCCUUUCCUCUGUACCCUACAUGAUCUCCAAUCGCUCCUCCAGGUGUCACAUCUCGUCUCCACCUGAAGCCCAGCGAAGGCAGAGAGGAUCUCAGCAUCUGACACACCUUCUCUUUGCAGGAGCCCUUCACCGGGCUGAGAAGCUCAGACCAUGGAACACAGGCAGCAACUCUCCAUCACUCCACUCUUCCAUCUCUGGCUGGCUGCUCAGCCACCAGCCUCCUUCUCUUCCUCCUCCUCGCAGCAAAGAGAACUGGACACCUACUGUGGAUGAUGCUGGUGUUGCCCAGCUUGUUGGUGCAGGUGUAGUUGCUGUGGUCCUUUUGGGACCUAGAGGUGAGGGUGGAGAGGCAGCCCUAGCUCGUGAUGCACAGGGGGAGUCAGUGGGGGACUUGCCCAGCUGGGCUGAACGCUUGGACUUGGAAGCAUUUUGCAACCAAAGUGCCUCUGUGAUUCUCUGCUAUCCCACCCCCUCCCCACCUCGUUCCCCAACAGACCCCUCCAGCCCCCAAAACACACCCCAUCCCCCACAGCCCCUCAGCUGCUGUGUCCUGGAACUGCUGCCCCUCUGCCAGGGGCACAGCAAGGCCUGGCCCUUGCCCUGGGGGCUGCGCUUCUGCCCCAGCGAGGGAGGCACCUGAGUUCCUGGUGUGGGCAACACACAGCAUGUCUGUGGGGACAUGGCAUGAUGUCAGCCCCCAGGGUGCUCCAGCUGUCCCCCCAAACCCCCCCUGACUGAGAGCAACUGUGCUGAGGUUGGGCACAGCCACGUUGGUGACAGCGCUGCCCUGGCAGCCACCCGCCUGCUCCCGUGUGCUGCUCAUCCUCGCUCACAAAGGCCUGGCCUGGACAUGGAGCUGUCACCUGGGGCUGCCCCAGCCCUCCCUCCUGUCCCCUGCCUACAGGGUGGGUGGUGGGAGGAUUGAAGAGGGGGGUGGGCACUUUUCUUCACCGUGCCCAAUGCCAGGACAAGGGGUGUUGGGCACAAGCUAGAAUACAGGAAGGUGCAAUGGAAACAUGGACUCAUGGAACCACAGGCAGCUGGAGAUCUCUUCUCCAGAGCUCAUCCAGUUCAACUGGCCUGCACCAGCAGCUCCACCUUGAUCACAGCCCCCAGGAACACAUCCAGGUCAGCACAGAAAGCAUCUGGAGCCGAAGACUCCAUACACUCCUGGGCAUGGAGAGAGGGGUUGAAUCUCCUUCUCUGGAGGCCUCCACCCAGGCUUGGACUUGGUGCUGUGCUCCCUCAUGGAGGCUCCCGAGCUGGGUGGGCUUUGGCUCUCCCUUGCAACCCCUCCCCCCUCAGAUUUUGUGACUUGAGAGAUCUUCUAAUAAAGGUUAAAUAAAGACUCAA
This is an RNA transcript of Colius striatus (speckled mousebird), 3862 nucleotides long. It is a transcript of the gene named coiled-coil domain containing 85A, with no coding region annotated. The record is from RefSeq and is a predicted model, not a curated record. The transcript is spliced from 7 exons. Lineage: Eukaryota; Metazoa; Chordata; Aves; Coliiformes; Coliidae.